GAUGAAGAACGUAGUGAAAUGCGAUAAGUAAUGCGAAUUGCAGAAUCCGUGAGUCAUCGAAUCUUUGAACGCACAUUGCGCCCUCUGGUAUUCCGGAGGGCAUGCCUGUUCGAGCGUCAUUAUCACCCCUCAAGCCCGGCUUGUUGUUGGAUGCAGCGCUUAUCCCGCUCCUCCCAAAGAUAAUGACGGCGUCUGCGACGACUCCUGUACACUGAGCUUUCGGGCACGUACACGGCUAGAAGUCCAGACCCGGUCGCCGUCCCCCCCGCGGGGACACCCAUUACCACAAGGUUGACCUCGGAUCAGGUAGGAAUACCCGCUGAACUUAAGCAUAUCAAUAAGCGGAGGA
This 349-nucleotide unclassified non-coding RNA is filed under the name soil metagenome. RNAcentral's name for it is "partial contains 5.8S ribosomal RNA, internal transcribed spacer 2, and large subunit ribosomal RNA". The stretch from base 1 to 119 matches the Rfam family "5.8S ribosomal RNA", at positions 35 to 154 of the family's 154-position model. The record is from RNAcentral.